Molecule: non-coding RNA, 156 nt
Organism: Populus trichocarpa (black cottonwood)
Lineage: Eukaryota; Viridiplantae; Streptophyta; Magnoliopsida; Malpighiales; Salicaceae
Source: Rfam
UCUAGAACUCGAGAUAUGGGUUGAACACUGAACAAUAUCUGGGCUGUAAGACAGAUUUUGACUUCUCCGUUGUUGCUAAGAUUUGAACUUAAAAAUGACCUUUUUGAAUCUUGGACUCCGCAUGAAAGUUUUAGGCCUAUGUCUUAGCUUUCCAUC